CAUGUAUGAUGACGGAACUUUUUU
RNAcentral lists this non-coding RNA (24 nucleotides) under Cricetulus griseus (Chinese hamster). The record is from RNAcentral. Lineage: Eukaryota; Metazoa; Chordata; Mammalia; Rodentia; Cricetidae.